Molecule: long non-coding RNA, 519 nt
Filed under: Malus domestica (apple)
Lineage: Eukaryota; Viridiplantae; Streptophyta; Magnoliopsida; Rosales; Rosaceae
Description: long non-coding RNA (MDOM_LNC007804)
Source: RNAcentral
UUCCAUAGUAACCAUCAUACUGGACGUACGGGGCUGGGCCCCCGCCAUAACCACUAUGGCACGGCCCACCUGCACGCCCUUGGUAACAAUCCAUACAACACGCUCGGACAGGCGGUCGAUACCCUGGCACACAAGGAACCGGCUGAGGCGGUGGCGGUCCAGGAUUAUGGCACGGCCCACCUGCAUGCCCCUGGUAACAAUCCAUACAACAUGCUCGGACAGGCGGUCGGUGCGCUGGCACACAAGGAACCGGCUGAGGUGGUGGCGGUCCAGGAUUAUGGCAUGGCCCACCUGCAUGCCCCUGGUAACAUUCCAUACAACACGUUCGGACAGGCGGUCGGUGCGCCGGCACACAAGGAACUGGCUGAGGCGAUGGUGGUCCAGGAUUUGGCUUACCGUCAUCUUUAGGCUUGCUGUCAUCUUUAGGCUUGCCGUCAUCUUUAGGAUUGCCGUCAUCUUUAGGCUUGCCAUCAUCUUUAGGCUUACCGUCACCCUUACCGUCACCCUUACCGUCACCUU